GCUGGCGGCAGGCCUAACACAUGCAAGUCGAACGGAGUUAUAUUGUAGCUUGCUAUGGUAUAACUUAGUGGCAGACGGGUGAGUAAUGUAUAGGAAUCUACCUAGUAGUACGGAAUAAUUGUUGGAAACGGCAACUAAUACCGUAUACGCCCUACGGGGGAAAAAUUUAUUGCUAUUAGAUGAGCCUAUAUUAGAUUAGCUAGUUGGUGGAGUAAUAGCCUACCAAGGCAAUGAUCUAUAGCUGAUCUGAGAGGAUGAUCAGCCACACUGGAACUGAGAUACGGUCCAGACUCCUACGGGAGGCAGCAGUGGGGAAUAUUGGACAAUGGGCGAAAGCCUGAUCCAGCCAUGCCGCAUGAGUGAAGAAGGCCUUUGGGUUGUAAAGCUCUUUUAGUGAGGAAGAUAAUGACGGUACUCACAGAAGAAGUCCUGGCUAACUCCGUGCCAGCAGCCGCGGUAAUACGGAGAGGGCUAGCGUUAUUCGGAAUUAUUGGGCGUAAAGGGCGCGUAGGCGGAUUAGUAAGUUAAAAGUGAAAUCCCAAGGCUCAACCUUGGAAUUGCUUUUAAAACUGCUAAUCUAGAGAUUGAAAGAGGAUAGAGGAAUUCCUAGUGUAGAGGUGAAAUUCGUAAAUAUUAGGAGGAACACCAGUGGCGAAGGCGUCUAUCUGGUUCAAAUCUGACGCUGAGGCGCGAAGGCGUGGGGAGCAAACAGGAUUAGAUACCCUGGUAGUCCACGCUGUAAACGAUGAAUGUUAAAUAUGGGAAGUUUUACUUUCCGUAUUACAGCUAACGCGUUAAAC
This 800-nucleotide ribosomal RNA is filed under the name uncultured bacterium. RNAcentral describes it as "bacterial SSU rRNA". It matches the Rfam family "Bacterial small subunit ribosomal RNA", at positions 35 to 865 of the family's 1533-position model. The record is from RNAcentral.